GUUGCCCACACUGGAAUGCAAUGCUGUGAUGCAAGCUCACCGCAGUCUCGAACUCUUGGACUCAAGCCAUCAGCUCGCCUCUGCCUCUUGUGUAGCUAGGACCACAAGCAUGAAUGAGUACAACUUGCCCCUACAUUUAUUACUUGAAUGAUUUUCUCAAGCUAGCCAUGCCAACAGGCUUUGUUAGUACCAUUUUAUAGAAAAACGUGGGAUUCAGUGUUUUGCUCAGAGUAAUUGAUGAAAUUGGUGGAAAAGCUACCUGGGCUCAAUCUAGCUUAAAGUUCUAUGCCCUUUGCAUUAUGUUCCUAUUCUUUCUACAAAUAACGUUAUGAUUCUAAAAAGUUCAGGGAGAUGGGCAAAUAGGUUUGCCUUAAUCUUAAGAACCUGCUACGUGCUGGUGGUCCAUCAGUGAACAAAAUGGACAAAGGUUGUGCUCUUUUAAUCAAGUUAUAGAUGAAACAAACUUAAAAGCCAGUGCUGGAGAUAAGAGAUGAUUAAGCAAACACAAAAAUAAACAUAUCAUUAACCUUGGGUGGAUCACAAUGGAGGAAAUGACCAAUGCAAGAAUAGAAAACAACACAGGGGCCUGCUUAGACAAUGAGCAUCCUGUCAGUCAUAGUCCCUGUACAACUCUGAACAAGCAAAAUGUGAGAAUUAAACAUUGUAUCCACUUCCUGCUCUCAAGUUAGUUACAUUUUGAAAAAAUUAUCAAGAUUCUUUCAUAUUCAGUUUCUUUAUCAGAAAGAUAGAAUUCAUCUUUUGAAGAUAUUUUGAGGUUAGAUAAUUUUGGUUGUGAAAAUGCUACACACUCAGACACACAUUAGGGCUUUAUUAUAAAUGGUUAAAACACGACCUACAGAAACUAGGCAAAGUACUCAAAAUAUAAAGAUAAAUAAGUUGAAAUUCUUACUCUUGGUUAAAGGGUAAAACAUAUCCAUAAUUAGAAAAUUACAUUCUGCCAAGUAAAAUAUAGAUAAACAUAGAGGAGAAACAUCUAACACAUUAAACCUUACUGGAGGAUAUGACAUUCCUCCCUGGAGGAUAUGACAUUCCUCCAACGUGGCAAAAAGAUUCCUGGUAGAACAGCAGAGACAGAAAGAUGGAGAUGGGACACAGCAUUGGUUUCUGGAAGUUAAGUGUGGACCAGUGCUGGAAGUACUUGGAAGAAGUAAAAGGGAUGGAUAAUGGACAACUUUUCACGCUUCCCUGUUAUCUCAUUUAAUUUUCUCCACUUAUAAGAAGACCAGCUUCACAUGUUAUCAUGGCUAUUUCACAGAUUAGAAAACUUUUGAGCAACAGUAACAACAAUAAAAAAGAACACUAGAUUCUAAGAAGAUAGAUCUGAAUACUUCAGAUUAAAGAGUAAAUAACUGGAGGUGAGGUUGAGAAUGGGAAGAAAGCAGAAAUACAAAAUAAUAGAGUGAUGAUCACAUCCCAUGGAAAAGGAGAGAGACUGGGCUGAUGGCCGGAGAGGUAUAUGGUCAAGGGAGAUAUUUUGCUUUAUUUCAUUUACAUAUGUCUUUAUACUGAAGCUUAAAGCAAGGAGGAAAUAGAAGGUACUGAAGAAAAAUAAUGAUUAGGAGAAGAGACUAGAAAAUAAGAGAGGUAAGGAGCAGAGGUGAAGUUAUUACCCUUAAUGCUAAUAAGUUCGUCAGUGUGUAUUAAGUAUUUACUAUGUAUGAGAAUCUGUUGUAAGUGCAUUAACAUGUUUAUGAGGUAUAUACCAUUUUUACACAACUUUAAAAAAGAGAAAACUAAUGUACAGUAAAGGUAAAAUAAUUGUCUCAAUAUUACUGAGCUGGUUAAUGCUGUAAAUGGGACUCAAUCACACACCACUAAGCUCUAUGAAAGUAAAGGAAGAAAAAUAUUACUCAGUUUGUAAUUUGUGACAUUGCCAUGACCACACACUAUAUAUAAUAUUCGUUCAUCAAAUCUAGAUACUAUAGUGACAUAGUUUAGAUCUAAUUAACAAGAGUGUGUUGAAAGCAAAAUCUUAUUUCCUAAAGUACAAUCCCUGUUAAUUUUUGUUUUCCUAGCAGAAUGAGACAAAGGAAAAGCUAAGAUGAUUUUUUAAGCACUUCAGUUCUUUCCUCCCAAUAUAUGACUAUUUCUAUCAAAUACAAAGAUGUUACGCAAUUUGAAAAAUAUUUUUCAGUUUUGGCAUAUAUCUGCAAAAAGGAUGUUAUCUUCAAGAAUCAUACGUCUUUUGAAAAAUGUUUCCAAGUGAUUGUUCCUGAUGCUGCUCUGAUCAAAAAUCAGGUUUGGAUGAAUGAAAAGGACAUUCAUGAGAGACUCCAGAAGAACCAGGCCUUUUCAGUGAAAGUAAACAACUUACGGAAUAAAGACGAGUGUAGAUCUGCUCUGACAAUGAUUAAAGGAAAGAAGACAUAUUGAUCUACUUUUAGCUCAGAAUUCAUGCAAGAAAUAAGUUUUUGUACUAAAAUGGUUUUAAAGUGCCCCUCUCUCUGCUAGAGUGAACAGAGAAUGCUGAAAGCCACAAGAAAAGGCAUUCACCAAAGAGAACAGAGCCAGGAGAGAGCCUCUGGGAAAGAGAAGGCUUUAGAGACAUCGUUUUAACUUGGCAGUAAAGCAAACAAGCAACAUAGCCACAGGACUGUUGGAGUGCGACAAUGUUUUCUCUAGAAAUAAACACUCAAGUCU
Molecule: long non-coding RNA, 2661 nt
Filed under: Homo sapiens (human)
Lineage: Eukaryota; Metazoa; Chordata; Mammalia; Primates; Hominidae
Description: HSALNT0318459
Source: RNAcentral